Molecule: non-coding RNA, 92 nt
Filed under: Coscinodiscus wailesii
Lineage: Eukaryota; Bacillariophyta; Coscinodiscophyceae; Coscinodiscales; Coscinodiscaceae
Source: RNAcentral
UGAGCGUUGGCUCUGGAUCUCCAGUAUCUGUUUGUAGUCAAGUUGAAUGAAAGAUAUGGAGUAGAUUCAAGAAAAAAUGGAAGUUUGGGAAA